UGCCAGCCGCCGCGGUAAUACGGGGGAUGCAAGCGUUAUUCGGAAUCAUUGGGCGUAAGGGGCACGCAGGCGGUCUUAUCAGUCAGAUGUGAAAGCCCGGGGCUCAACCCCGGACGUGCAUUUGAAACAGUAAGACUUGAGUACGGGAGAGGAAAGCGGAAUUCCUGGUGUAGAGGUGAAAUUCGUAGAUAUUCGGUGGAACACCAGUGGCGAAGGCGACUAACUGGACUGAUACUGACGCUGAGGUGCGAAAGUGUGGGGAGCAAACAGGAUUAGAUA
RNAcentral lists this ribosomal RNA (279 nucleotides) under uncultured bacterium. RNAcentral describes it as "partial 16S ribosomal RNA". It matches the Rfam family "Bacterial small subunit ribosomal RNA", at positions 506 to 784 of the family's 1533-position model. The record is from RNAcentral.